CCCAAGCCCCAGAAUGCUAGAGUUUUGAC
RNAcentral lists this non-coding RNA (29 nucleotides) under Rattus norvegicus (Norway rat). Lineage: Eukaryota; Metazoa; Chordata; Mammalia; Rodentia; Muridae. The record is from RNAcentral.